GGGCCGGACGCCGUGUUGGUUGCAGGCAGCGGACUCAUAAUCCGUCGACGAAAGUCCACCGUGGGUUCGAAUCCCACCCGGCCUACCA
Molecule: transfer RNA, 88 nt
Filed under: Caldimonas thermodepolymerans
Lineage: Bacteria; Pseudomonadati; Pseudomonadota; Betaproteobacteria; Burkholderiales; Sphaerotilaceae
Description: Schlegelella thermodepolymerans tRNA-Ile
Rfam family: tRNA
About the family: Transfer RNA (tRNA) molecules are approximately 80 nucleotides in length.
Source: RNAcentral